AUGUCGGUUCUAAUCGUUACGAGUGUGGGCGACAUCGAUGUGGAUCUGCACACGGAGGAGUGCCCCAUCACCACCAAGAACUUCCUCAAGCUCUGCAAGAUCAAGUACUACAACGGCUGCCUCUUCCACAAGGUGGAGAGGGAUUUCCUGGCACAGACCGGGGACCCAACCGGGACCGGCACCGGAGGUCAUUCUGUGUACAAGAUCCUUCAUGGCGAUCAAGAUCGGUUUUUCGAUGACGAGAUCCGUCCGGACCUGAGGCAUUCAAACGCUGGCACCGUCGCCAUGGCAGGUGGCUCGCAGUUCUACUUCACCUUGCGGGACGGCGUGGACGGUCUUGAUGGUAAACACACUGUGUUUGGGAUGAUUGCUGAGGGUGAAAGUUUUGAUACGCUGGCAAAGAUAAAUGAAUCAUGCCUUGAUGAUAAAGGGAGACCAUUCAUGGACAUAAGGAUUAAACAUACAUAUGUCUUGGACGAUCCUUUCGACGAACCUCCUCGGCUUGCAGAACUCAUCCCUGGGAAUUCUCCUGUAGGAAAGCCACGUGAUGAGACUGCAGAAGAGCGCUCACAGGUCCCUUUCGAUGAAACAGUGGACUGCUCUGAAGAUGCACUCUCUAAUAAUGUUGUGAUCGUUAGCUGUGAUCACUGCGGCGGAGGCAUUCCAGGAGUCGAACAGCCAGACAAUGUCUUGUAUGUUUCUAAACUUAACCCAAUUACACAAGAUGAGGAUCUGCAUACAAUCUUUUCUCGUUUCGGAACUGUGACAUCGGCUGAAAUAAUUCGUGAGUGCAAGACCGGAGAUAGCUUAUGCUAUGCUUUUAUCGAGUUUGAGACAAAGGAGGACUGCGAGCGUGCAUAUUUUAAGAUGGAGAAUAGCCUGAUUCAUGACAGGAGGAUCCAGGUUGAUUUUGCACAAAAUGUCCCAAAGCUGUGGGGUCGGUUCAGGCAAAGCAAACUAAAUGCCGAUAAAGAUGAUGGGUGCCUCCUCAAGUGUGGUGCCCCAGAUCACCUGCCCCGAGAUUGUGAUCAAGGCGUUGAGGAGGAAAACAAAGGCACCAAUUAUGUUGUCAAAGAUCAAAACACUCACGGAGGCGGGAACAACCGCAGAAGUUACGAUUUAGCAUUCGACGAUGAAGGUAAUAAUGCUGAUCUGGAAGAUCAUCCAGGUGCCGAUCGAAAUAAGAUACUGAAAGUUGAAGCUUCCCCCUCAGGGUGA
RNAcentral lists this ribosomal RNA (1218 nucleotides) under Triticum aestivum (bread wheat). RNAcentral's name for it is "partial small subunit ribosomal RNA". Lineage: Eukaryota; Viridiplantae; Streptophyta; Magnoliopsida; Poales; Poaceae. The record is from RNAcentral.